AAAGUCGUAACAAGGUUUCCGUAGGUGAACCUGCGGAAGGAUCAUUACAAAUCCAAAAAAUUACCCGUUUUAAAUGUCUUCGGCCUUGGGGUGUGCCUCCUUCUCCCUCUCUCUAUUUCUUGUGUGUUGACACAUUGAUAUAUAUCGCGAUCGUCAAGAUGGUGAGCAUAUCAAAGCGCGCAACACACGAGAGAGGGAGAGAGAAGGUGGUGAUACCAUAUUCCUCCUUGUUGAGGCAUAUUAAACCAAGGUUCGUUUUAAAAAUGACUAUCAAUUUUGACAUCUUGUAACCUUUUAUCGUUCAUUCGAUAACAACAAAUACAACUUUUAACAAUGGAUCUCUAGGCUCUU
RNAcentral lists this unclassified non-coding RNA (351 nucleotides) under Basidiomycota sp. Its description in RNAcentral is "partial contains small subunit ribosomal RNA, internal transcribed spacer 1, and 5.8S ribosomal RNA". The stretch from base 1 to 47 matches the Rfam family "Eukaryotic small subunit ribosomal RNA", at positions 1785 to 1831 of the family's 1831-position model. The record is from RNAcentral. Lineage: Eukaryota; Fungi; Basidiomycota.